RNAcentral lists this ribosomal RNA (253 nucleotides) under uncultured bacterium. RNAcentral's name for it is "partial 16S ribosomal RNA". It matches the Rfam family "Bacterial small subunit ribosomal RNA", at positions 524 to 776 of the family's 1533-position model. The record is from RNAcentral.
UACGUAGGGGGCUAGCGUUGUCCGGGAUCAUUGGGCGUAAAGCGCGUGUAGGCGGUCCGGUAAGUCCGCUGUGAAAGUCGGGGGCUCAACCCUCGAAUGCCGGUGGAUACUGUCGGGCUAGAGUGCGGAAGAGGCGAGUGGAAUUCCUGGUGUAGCGGUGAAAUGCGCAGAUAUCAGGAGGAACACCAAUUGCGAAGGCAGCUCGCUGGGACGUAACUGACGCUGAGACGCGAAAGCGUGGGGAGCAAACAGG